RNAcentral lists this long non-coding RNA (204 nucleotides) under Mytilus galloprovincialis (Mediterranean mussel). Lineage: Eukaryota; Metazoa; Mollusca; Bivalvia; Mytilida; Mytilidae. The record is from RNAcentral.
GUACAACUUACCAGUACGAAAGUUUUCCCCAAUCUAAAGAAAUACUGCCCUGACGAGGUUUAAAUAUCCAAGUCUGGACAUUGAGUUCAAGCACGAGAUAAACGAUCCCCGCGAAAAAAAGUGACCGGACAACUAUAGUUAUAUAUAGUAUCUAAAAAUAGAAAAAGGGGAAUUUACGAUGACCCACAAACGUUACAAUACCCC